Molecule: unclassified non-coding RNA, 275 nt
Filed under: Agaricomycetes sp.
Lineage: Eukaryota; Fungi; Basidiomycota; Agaricomycetes
Description: partial contains 5.8S ribosomal RNA, internal transcribed spacer 2, and large subunit ribosomal RNA
Source: RNAcentral
CGCACCUUGCGCCACGUGGUAUUCCACGAGGCACGCCUGUUUGAGUGUCACGAUCACCCUCGCGUCGCCGAAUGUCAUGUUCGGAGGGGCGGAUUUGGACGCUGCCGUCGUUGGCUCGUCUCGAAAUGCAUUAGCUGUCUAAGGACUACGCCUCUGGUGUGAUAAUUUACUUCUCGCCGUCGGUGCAAUGUCUGGUGAAGGCUCACAAACCGUCCGCAAGGACAACAUUAUAAAGCUUUGGCCUCAAAUCAGGCGGGACUACCCGCUGAACUUAA